This 200-nucleotide ribosomal RNA is filed under the name uncultured organism. RNAcentral describes it as "partial small subunit ribosomal RNA". It matches the Rfam family "Bacterial small subunit ribosomal RNA", at positions 1184 to 1382 of the family's 1533-position model. The record is from RNAcentral.
GUCAAGUCAUCAUGCCCCUUAUGUCCAGGGCUUCACGCAUGCUACAAUGGCCGGUACAGAGGGCUGCGAUGUCGUGAGGCGGAGCGAAUCUCUUAAAGCCGGUCUCAGUUCGGAUCGGGGUCUGCAACUCGACCCCGUGAAGUCGGAGUCGCUAGUAAUCGUGAAUCAGCGAUGUCACGGUGAAUACGUUCCCGGGUCUU